Molecule: ribosomal RNA, 555 nt
Filed under: Triticum aestivum (bread wheat)
Lineage: Eukaryota; Viridiplantae; Streptophyta; Magnoliopsida; Poales; Poaceae
Description: partial small subunit ribosomal RNA
Source: RNAcentral
GCUUCUAUCCCUGUCUACUACAUGUCUAAUAUUCUUUUUCCCAAGAAAUUUCUUUCAAAACUCACAGCAAUCAUUAGGAAGUUUUGGUGGACAGGGGUGAGAGAGGAGACCAAUGCUAAGUCCCUUUGCCUUAGAGCUUGGAAGGACAUUUGUUCUCCAAAGAAUGAAGGAGGGUUAGGGAUCAAGAACAUGCAAGCUACUAACAGAAGUUUGAUUCUGUCUGCAGCUUGGAGGAUUGUUGAUAAUCCUAACAGCCACAUCUCCAAAGUUCUCCAAUCAAAAUAUUUUCAUGAUACUUCAUUUUGGAAAGCUAGCCCUAGUGUUCCUAAAUCUGCUUUUUGGGAUGUUGUUCUCAAAGUCAGACCUAUGUUGCUCAAUAACUCUUUUUACCAACUCGUUUCUGGCAAUAUUUCUGUCUGGAGUUCUCCUUGGUAUAAUUCCUGGCAAGAUAUUUAUGAAAAUCUGAUUAUCCAACCGAGAGAAUAUGUUUAUCCUGCUUUGGUCAAAGAUCUUUGGUUUCCUAAUCAGAAAUUGUGGAAUGAUAAACCUCAUUGA